RNAcentral lists this ribosomal RNA (804 nucleotides) under uncultured bacterium. Its description in RNAcentral is "bacterial SSU rRNA". It matches the Rfam family "Bacterial small subunit ribosomal RNA", at positions 8 to 812 of the family's 1533-position model. The record is from RNAcentral.
AGAGUUUGAUCUCUGGCUCAGGACGAACGCUGGCGGCGUGCCUAACACAUGCAAGUCGAACGAGAAUCCGUGGAAGGAGGCUUCGGCCAACGGAAGCGGAGGACAGUGGCGGACGGGUGAGUAACGCGUGAGCAACCUGCCUUGGAGUGGGGGACAACAGAGGGAAACUUCUGCUAAUACCGCAUAAUGUGCCGGGAAGGCAUCUUCCUGGUACCAAAGAUUUAUCGCUCUAAGAUGGGCUCGCGUCUGAUUAGAUAGUUGGUGGGGUAACGGCCUACCAAGUCGACGAUCAGUAGCCGGACUGAGAGGUUGAACGGCCACAUUGGGACUGAGAUACGGCCCAGACUCCUACGGGAGGCAGCAGUGGGGAAUAUUGCACAAUGGGGGAAACCCUGAUGCAGCGACGCCGCGUGAAGGAAGAAGUAUUUCGGUAUGUAAACUUCUAUCAGCAGGGAAGAUAGUGACGGUACCUGACUAAGAAGCCCCGGCUAACUACGUGCCAGCAGCCGCGGUAAUACGUAGGGGGCAAGCGUUAUCCGGAUUUACUGGGUGUAAAGGGAGCGUAGACGGUGUGGCAAGUCUGAUGUGAAAGGCAUGGGCUCAACCUGUGGACUGCAUUGGAAACUGUCAUACUUGAGUGCCGGAGGGGUAAGCGGAAUUCCUAGUGUAGCGGUGAAAUGCGUAGAUAUUAGGAGGAACACCAGUGGCGAAGGCGGCUUACUGGACGGUAACUGACGCUGAGGCUCGAAAGCGUGGGGAGCAAACAGGAUUAGAUACCCUGGUAGUCCACGCCGUAAACGAUGA